Molecule: ribosomal RNA, 452 nt
Filed under: uncultured bacterium
Lineage: Bacteria
Description: bacterial SSU rRNA
Rfam family: Bacterial small subunit ribosomal RNA
Source: RNAcentral
ACGAACGCUGGCGGCGUGCUUAACACAUGCAAGUCGAGCGACGCGCCUUCGGGUGACGGAGCGGCGAACGGGUGAGUAACACGUGGGCAACCUGCCCUCAGCUCUGGGACAACCUCGGGAAACCGUGGCUAAUACCGGAUACGACCACUGGUGGCAUCACGGGUGGUGGAAAGUUUUUCGGCUGAGGAUGGGCCCGCGGCCUAUCAGCUUGUUGGUGGGGUGAUGGCCUACCAAGGCGACGACGGGUAGCCGGCCUGAGAGGGCGAUCGGCCACACUGGGACUGAGACACGGCCCAGACUCCUACGGGAGGCAGCAGUGGGGAAUAUUGCGCAAUGGGUGGAAGCCUGACGCAGCGACGCCGCGUGAGGGAUGAAGGCCUUCGGGUUGUAAACCUCUUUCAGCAGGGACGAAUUCAGACGGUACCUGCAGAAGAAGCACCGGCCAACUACGU